Molecule: long non-coding RNA, 306 nt
Filed under: Homo sapiens (human)
Lineage: Eukaryota; Metazoa; Chordata; Mammalia; Primates; Hominidae
Description: HSALNT0285974
Source: RNAcentral
GCAACACUCAGUAAAAAAUGCAGGUUCUGUACAUCAGGAGUCUGAAAUGCAUCUCACUGGGCUAAAAUCAAGAUCUGUGGCACAUGGAACCACAUGUGGGACAAGAGGUUCUGGGGAUUCAAGCAUUGACAUCUUUGGGAGACAAUUAUUCUGCCUACCAUGUGCAUUUAAAUUGGCUUUCUCUCUCUGAGACUGGAGAAGAACCUUUUUCACCCUUGUAUGUGCCUAUUUCAAAAUGGCAAGAAAAUCUGUACUCCAAUGGGAGAGGAUUUUUAUGAAUGUAUUCGUAAGUAUGCUUGUGUCCAG